This 882-nucleotide ribosomal RNA is filed under the name Triticum aestivum (bread wheat). RNAcentral describes it as "partial small subunit ribosomal RNA". Lineage: Eukaryota; Viridiplantae; Streptophyta; Magnoliopsida; Poales; Poaceae. The record is from RNAcentral.
AUGGAGGGCGCCGAGUUCGUCCACGCCGUGGCUCCCGGCGUCACCGUGGCCGACGUGGUCGUGCCGCUGUACACCCCCGUGGUGGUCCGGUCCUUCUUCCCGCUCGACGGGCUGCUCGGCGUGGACGCCGUGGCGGGCUCCCACCCGGUCCUGGCCGCGCAGGCCACCGAGCUCACUGACGGUGUCUUUGUCGCCAUGUCGCUCAACCACGGUGUUGGCGACGGGACGUCCUUCUGGCACCUCUUCAACACCUGGUCCGAGAUCAGCCGUCGUCAGAGUGACGCCGCCGCCAUCUCCUCGCCACUACCGCUACGGGCACCUAUCAUUGGUGGCAGUGGAGCCGCAGGACUGCUUCCUCCAUUUCUCCGCGGAGAGCGUAAGGAAGCUCAAAGCGAAGGCGAACGCCGAGGCAUCCGGCAGCGGCAGCGCCACCAUCUCCUCGUUGCAGGCCCUGCUGGCGCACCUGUGGUCGCGGUGUGCCGAGCGAGGAGGCUGGCGCCGGACCACAGCACAACGUACGUCCUCCUCGUCGGAUCCCGGGGCCGCUUGACCGACAUACCGUCGGGCUACGCGGGCAACGCCGUGGCACGCGCCGAGGCGACGUCCACGGCCGGCGAGAUCCUGGAGAGGGGUCUGGGCUGGGCCGCGUCGCUGUUGAACAAAAUGGUGGCGUCGCUCGACGAGGCGAGCGAGAGGGACAGGCUCGCGUCAUGGGCGCUGUGGCGCAGCUCGGCGAACAAGAUGGACGGGACGGCGACGGUGUUCGAAGGUAGGGGCGGCGGUGGGAGCAUGGCCUUGGAGGUGUGCCUCAACCCGGAGGUGCUCGCGAGGCUCGUCGCCGCCGACGAGUUCAUGAGCGGGGUGAGCACGGCCACAGCGUGA